UUGCCGUUCUGAAAAAUUCAAGAAACGUCUUCAAAGUAGUUAGUAAGUUUGCUUGACAUUUGUAAAACAUUCCCUCCACAGCUCAAAGGCCUCAACUUUCUGGAAAGCCCCUCCGUUUUCCAUUAUUCAUCUUCCUUCCAAACUCCGCAACUUCUUCUCCAGCCACUUCAAUGGAAGAAGAAGCUUCUUCAAGUAGCGUGGCAUCAUCAUCAUCAUCCCAAGUACAAGCUUCAUUAGAUGAUUGUUUGAAGCUACUCAGAGGAGAAAGGGACGAGCAGAGGUUAGCGGGUCUACUUCUAGUUACCAAAUUUUGCAAUAAAGAUGACCACACCGCCAUUCUCAAGGUUUACGAUGCCGUUGGACCUCAAUUCCUCCACCGCCUUCUUAGAACUGGAACGGGGAAAGGAGGUGAUGGCGGGAAUCGUGAUGCCUACUUGCAGUUGUCAAUCACAGUUCUUGCAGCAUUUUGUAGAGUUCCCGAGAUUGCAGCUUCGGAAGAUAUGGUUACUAAGAUUCCUCUCAUUGUAGAGACAAUGUCCCGAGAAGCAGGAUCACCUAUCAUUGAAGAAUGCUAUGAAUUUUUGUUUUUGGUCUCAACGGCCAACGAAGAAGGGGUUAAAACCUUGUUCAAAUCUGGUGGCUUGAAUGUGCUCGCUUCGCAAAUGAUGAUUCUACCAGAUGGUUGUCAUAUGAUUGAACUUGCUAUGAGACUUGUGCAAAUCAUUGUUAUUAAGCUACCCUCAGAAAAUGUUUAUUCUGAGCAUUCAACUGAUCUGUCAAUGGUGGUGGCUGCAGUGGCAAAGCAGUUUGUUGUACUGCAAAAUGCACUGAAGUUUGAAGCGCUUCACCUCCUAUCAGCUAUCCUGUCCAACGGAUAUUCUGCACCUGUAUAUGAUGCUCUUCGGUUAAUGGAAAAUGACGUUUGGUCAACAAACCUGCGGAUUGGUAUUGUGGCUAUCUUGCAAAAUCGAGUUGCACCUUCACAUAAGCUUCAGGCUCUUGUUCUGGCUGAGUGUGUCAUAUCAAUUGUUGGUGAAGGUUGGCUUAUUGGGGAGAUGAACUCAACUGAUUCUCAGGAUUCCCUGCCUGCUGACAGGUGUAUUCUGCUUGUUUUGGAGUCAUCAAGGGUUGAAAUUGCUGUUCUUCUAAAUGACCUAGCAUACUUGAAAUAUGAAGCCUCCAAGGCGUCCUCAAAUACAGAGAACAUUCUCGUGAAGCAGAGGAAUCUUGGAGUAGCACUCUCUUUGGUUGAAAAGAUAAUUAAACUUAUUUCUAGUUUUGCUGGAGAAGAGUCAACUGUCAAUGUUGUUAUCAGUGAGCGCACUUUCACAAAAAUCAUUUCGGGGCUCAAUGAGACAAUUGGUGUUGUUUUGGACUAUCUACGAGAUACUAAGGAGCAUGGACAGAUGAAAGGGGAUGACCUUCUAGCGGCUGUUCGACUAAUCGGAAGUUAUCUUGCAGAAGUACCAGAUGCAUGUAAAGAUAAGGUCACAGAACUCCUAGGCUAUUUGCUUUCAAUUGAAGGGGAAGAUGAAUUGAGUCCUUUUUAUUCCAUCUGUUUUCUGCUUCCGAUGCUGUGUCAAAUAACUCUCAAGACUGGAGGAUGUAAAAUUUUAGCUUCCUCAGGUGCAUUUAGAGAAGUUGUCGGUUGCCUUAUUGCUUUGAUUGACCAAAACAAUUAUACAUCUGAGGAUAAUGGUUCUAUAUUCUUGGCUUGCAAUACACUUUUGAAUCUUCUUCUAAAGCGGGAGCAAACUAAAUUUCCUUCAGAUGAUCCCAGUUUUAUCAGACUUUUAGUAGCAUUGUCACAUUGGGCAGAGGGUACGGACGAGGCAUCUAUUAUCAUGAUGGCAUCAAGCAUCUGUUCACUUAUACUUGAUUUGACAUCAGAGGAAGCUCUUCUAAAUCAUCCGGACUUCACUAGUGGCAAUAUUGGUAGUCUGUCGAAGCUCAUUGAACGAAGCUUUGCAAUGUGUGGUCAGGACUUGAUAUCCGAUGAUGCUACAGCUGAAGUAGAUCUUUUUCAGAUAAUUACCUCAGGUCUGUGCGACUUGACUAGAAAUUGUUGUACGGAUCAAUUGAAUAGUAGAAAAGCACCUUCAAUGGAGGGUAAUGUCUUUCUGCAAUCACGGCAUUUCGUUCCUGCAUUCUGGACUUCCCAUGCUCUAGGAUUCUAGAGAAGUGACAGUUACCUAUAUCUUUCAAUGGAGUUUUUGCACUGGCCAACAUUGCAGUAUAAAGAAAUUUGUUUACUCUUAUCAACUUAUUUUGGACGGACUGAUGAUGAGCAGUGAAUCCAAGCUUUUCCUAACAGCUAUAUGGAUCCAAGUUCGCAGGAUGAUAAGGCAGAUGAUUUACUAGCAUGCACAAACUUGCUGUAUUACGAGUCUUUUCUGUUCUUCCAAAUCUGUGCAUGCUUUAGCCUCUUGCACGACUUUGCUCUCAUCGUACCAUUUUUCCUUGUGGAAGAGGGUUGUAUGGUCAUCUCAUAGUAUUGGAAGCAAGUUGUUUAAAAUUAGUUUGUUACUACUAUUUAGUUAUAUUUCCUUGUACAAAAUAAGUGUUCUAAUUAGGUCUCUCAGGUCCACUUUCGGUGUCUCUUCCUACGAUGUUAUUGGUUAGCAUAUCAAAGAAAGAAAGGUGAUUGGGUGAGACACUUCAUGAGAAAGGUGAUUCGGUGGGACGUUUCAUGAGAAAGGUGAUUCGGUGAGACACUUCAUGCCAUGGGCCAAAAAGAACAUGUAAUGUACCUUUCAGGAUUAGUCAUUUUCAAAAAGAAAAUGUUUUAUUAA
Lycium ferocissimum is the source of this 2792-nucleotide RNA transcript. RefSeq lists it as uncharacterized. Lineage: Eukaryota; Viridiplantae; Streptophyta; Magnoliopsida; Solanales; Solanaceae. The transcript is spliced from 19 exons. The record is from RefSeq and is a predicted model, not a curated record.